UACGUAGGGUGCGAGCGUUGUCCGGAAUUAUUGGGCGUAAAGAGCUCGUAGGCGGUUUGUCGCGUCGGCCGUGAAAACUUGGGGCUUAACUCCAAGCUUGCGGUCGAUACGGGCAGACUUGAGUUCGGCAGGGGAGACUGGAAUUCCUGGUGUAGCGGUGAAAUGCGCAGAGAUCGGGAGGAACACCAGUGGCGAAGGCGGCCGGCUGGGCCGACCCUGACGCUGAGGCGCGAAGGCGUGGGGAGCGAACGGG
This 253-nucleotide ribosomal RNA is filed under the name uncultured bacterium. Its description in RNAcentral is "partial 16S ribosomal RNA". It matches the Rfam family "Bacterial small subunit ribosomal RNA", at positions 524 to 776 of the family's 1533-position model. The record is from RNAcentral.